CCGCGGUAAUACGUAGGGGGCGAGCGUUGUCCGGAUUUAUUGGGCGUAAAGGGCGUGUAGGCGGUUUGUUAAGCCAGAUGUGAAAGCCCCGGGCUCAACCUGGGAACUGCGUUUGGUACUGGCAAGCUAGAGUACGGCAGAGGGGGGUGGAAUUCCACGUGUAGCAGUGAAAUGCGUAGAGAUGUGGAGGAACACCGAUGGCGAAGGCAGCCCCCUGGGCCGAUACUGACGCUCAGGCACGAAAGCGUGGGGAGCAAACAGG
This 262-nucleotide ribosomal RNA is filed under the name uncultured bacterium. RNAcentral's name for it is "partial 16S ribosomal RNA". It matches the Rfam family "Bacterial small subunit ribosomal RNA", at positions 515 to 776 of the family's 1533-position model. The record is from RNAcentral.